UUAGAAAAAUAUAAAAUAAAAAUGCAAAAAGUAUGGAUUUCAAAAUUUAUUUUACUUAAAAUCAUUUAAUUACCAUAAAUAAAGGUGUAUUGUUUAACUCUCCGUUACUUACGACAUUUCCACAGUGUAUUGCAUUUCUCGUUAUUGUAGUUUUUAAUGAUCUGUGAUGUAUCAUUUAUUGCUUUAGAUUAGACCUCUGUUCGUGCUCUUGUACACUGCCAUACAAUACGCUGGGCACCCCGCAAAACCUCGGCUGUCCCUCGGCUUAGGCCCUCUCAGCUAAAGGUCCUUCAACAAAGGUUUACCUCAGCUAAAGGUCCUACAACAAAGGUUUACCUCAGCUAAAGGUCCUUCAACAAAGGGUUACCUCAGCUAAAGGUCCUUCAACAAAGGUUUACCUCAGCUGAAGGUCCUUCAACAAAGGGUUACCUCGGCUAAAGGUCCUUCAACAAAGGGUUACUUCAGCUAAAGGUCCUUCAACAAAGGUUUACCUCAGCUAAAGGUCCUUCAACAAAGGUUUACCUCAGCUAAAGGUCCUUCAACAAAGGUUUACCUCAACUAAAGGUCCUUCAACAAAGGUUUACCUCAGCUAAAGGUCCUUCAACAAAGGUUUACCUCAGCUAAGGGCCCUUCAACAAAGGUUUACUUCGGCUAAAGGUCCUUCAACAAAGGUUUACCUCAGCUAAGGGUCCUUCAACAAAGGUUUACCUCAGCUAAAGGUCCUUCAACAAAGGUUUACCUCAGCUAAAGGUCCUUCAACAAAGGUUUACCUCAGCUAAGGGUCCUUCAACAAAGGGUUACCUCAGCUAAAGGUCCUUCAACAAAGGGUUACCUCGGCUAAAGGUCCUUCAACAAAGGUUUACCUCAGCUAAAGGUCCUUUAACAAAGGGUUACCUCAGCUAAAGGUCCUUCAACAAAGGGUUACCUCAGCUAAAGGCUUUUCUUUUUACCUUGGAAACGUUUUAAAGAAAUCCAUCCAACCUAUUAUAGACUGACACUCCUUGAUGUUGUGCACUUUCCUGUACUUUAGAACUUAGCGUUUAAAAAGUUUUACUUAAAAAAAUGAUAUGAUAAAAAAAUUCGAUAUUAUUUCUACAUAAGUAGAUUUAAUUUUAAUGAAAUAACAGAUUAAAUGUUGAUUUUAUACUUAACUUUUGGUAGUUGAUGUAUACAAUUAUUAAAAAAAAAACUUUUUCAUUUUGUAUACAUUUGAAUGAGCAUUUUGUAUUCUUAAAAUUUCCAUGUGUUUAUAAACAGUUAGAUUUUUUGUAGACAUAGCAUUAAUAAUGAAGUUUUUUGUAAAUUUGACAUUGUAAAGCGAUUUUUUGUUUGUGAUAUAUAUUUAAUUUCCAGUGAAAGCCUUCAAUAAAUAUAAGGAAUUGUUUCUUAGAAUUGAUAAAAGUACAAUAAAAUGAUUUGAUUCUUUUGUCGUAAUUUUUGGGAUCGUCGAAGCAAUAUGAUUAGACUGGAAUGUUUAAAAAAUUUAAAAUUAACGACCGUUUUUUUAUUAUUAAAUUUCUGUGACCAGGUAUACCUUUAAUAUUAAGGUAGAAAAAAUUAAAAAAAAAUCGUGGGACGGUUAUUUUUUGUAAUUGGUAUAAACUAGUCUGACAAUUUUUUCCCACUUUUAAAUAUGUAUUUUGUAUAUUGUCACCUGUAUUUAUGUUACAUAAUGUUUUUCUUUUUAAGUUUUGAUUGUAUUUUUAAAAGAGCGUUGACGAGUAUAUUAAUGUAAAGUAGGACAAGCAAAAUGUGUAAAUAAUUUAAAGUUUAUAUAAAUAAAGAGUGGCUGUUCUCAGAGGACCGCCGCAAAUUGAA
Papilio polytes (common Mormon) is the source of this 1818-nucleotide long non-coding RNA. RefSeq lists it as uncharacterized. Lineage: Eukaryota; Metazoa; Arthropoda; Insecta; Lepidoptera; Papilionidae. The record is from RefSeq and is a predicted model, not a curated record. The transcript has 2 exons.